CCUACGGGGGGCAGCAGUAGGGAAUCUUUCACAAUGGGCGAAAGCCUGAUGGAGCAACGCCGCGUGCAGGAUGAAGGCCUUCGGGUUGUAAACUGCUUUUAUAAGCGAGAAAUAUGAUGGUAACUUAUGAAUAAGGAUCGGCUAACUACGUGCCAACAGCCGAGGUCAUAAGUAGGAUCCGAGCAGUAUACGGAGUGACUGGGUGUAAAGAGUUGCGUAGGUGGCAUAAUAAGUAGCUAGGGAAAUCUGGUGGCGCAACCAUUCAGACUAUUCGCUAAACUGUUAAGCUCGAGACCGUUAGGGGUAACUGGAAUUUCUAGUGUAGGAGUGAAAUCCGUAGAUAUUAGAAGGAACACCAAUAGCGUAGGCAGGUUGCUGGGACGGUUCUGACACUAAGGCACGAAAGCGUAGGGAGCAAACGGGAUUAGAUACCCCAGUAGUC
This 442-nucleotide ribosomal RNA is filed under the name uncultured bacterium. RNAcentral's name for it is "partial 16S ribosomal RNA". It matches the Rfam family "Bacterial small subunit ribosomal RNA", at positions 338 to 795 of the family's 1533-position model. The record is from RNAcentral.